CUCGGACCUUCCACGCACGCAGGAGCAGGAUCAGCGGGGACUAACGUAUGGUACAGGAGGACCUGGCUGACCUGGCUGACCUGGAGGAGGACGAGGACGAGGAGCAGCAGCGCGGACAAUUGUGUGUGGUGACGUUGCAGUGACAACAGGUGUAAUCUGAACACCUGUGAUCGGAUCACUCAGGUGGGAUGUUA
This is a long non-coding RNA of Solea senegalensis (Senegalese sole), 194 nucleotides long. RefSeq lists it as uncharacterized. Lineage: Eukaryota; Metazoa; Chordata; Actinopteri; Pleuronectiformes; Soleidae. The transcript has 3 exons. The record is from RefSeq and is a predicted model, not a curated record.